Phrynosoma platyrhinos (Desert horned lizard) is the source of this 70-nucleotide non-coding RNA. Lineage: Eukaryota; Metazoa; Chordata; Lepidosauria; Squamata; Phrynosomatidae. The record is from the annotation of a GenBank genome assembly.
GCCAGUGUGGUGUAGUGCUUUGAGCGCUGGAUUGACUCUGGAAGCCAGGGUUCAAAUCCCUGCUCAGUCA